AGAGAGAGACAUGCGCGCAUAUCAAUAAGCGGAGGAAAAGAAACUAACCAGGAUUCCCUCAGUAACGGCGAGUGAAGCGGGAAGAGCUCAAAUUUGAAAUCUUCAAGGUUCUACCUUGACGAAUUGUAGUUUAAAGAAGUGUUUUCUGUUGAAGUUUUGGUAAAAGUUCUUUGGAAUAGGACAUCAUAGAGGGUGAGAAUCCCGUAUUUGACCAUUAUUUCCAGCUUUGUGAUACACUUUCAAAGAGUCGGAUUGUUUGGGAAUGCAGUCCAAAAUGGGUGGUAAAUUUCAUCUAAAGCUAAAUACUGGCGAGAGACCGAUAGCGAACAAGUACCGUGAGGGAAAGAUGAAAAGAACUUUGAAAAGAGAGUUAAACAGUACGUGAAAUUGUCAAAAGGGAAGCGUUUGACACCAGUGUUGUUUUCUCGAAAAUCAAUUAAAAAAGGCAGGAUUUUGUGUUGUAUUGACUUUAUCAGCUUUCUGCACUCUUUUCUUGUCUUUUUUAAUGCACUUUUCGUUUAACAAGUCAACAUCAAUUUCUUUUGUUGUAAAAGGGUCAUUGGAAGGUGGCUUUCUUUUCGGAGAAAGUGUUUAUAGCCUUUGGCCUCUGCAAUCGGAGAGAUUGAGGUCUGCAGCGUAGAUCCUUCGGGGUUAGAUACAUUUGUGCUAAGUUAUAGCCUUUCAUAGACAACUUGUUGACUAUGAUCAGUCAUGUAGCUUACUCGCUUAUGCUAUUUUACCUACGCUUAGGAUGUUGAUGUGAUACUGCGAGCA
Molecule: ribosomal RNA, 774 nt
Filed under: uncultured Neocallimastigales
Lineage: Eukaryota; Fungi; Neocallimastigomycota; Neocallimastigomycetes; Neocallimastigales
Description: partial large subunit ribosomal RNA
Rfam family: Eukaryotic large subunit ribosomal RNA
Source: RNAcentral